AGUAUAUUUAUCUCAUUGUGUGCAGAGCGAAGCCUCUGAGGUGAGUCGAGAGAGGACGGGAUGCACAGGAAGUUUCAGUGUUAAAUCUCCUAAAGUUUUGAACACAAAGACCCCUGAGCGCCGGCCAGCCCACCCUGCAGAUGGCCGGAGGAUCAGAGGCUGUCAGCACGCUUAAACGAGCCAAGAGUCGAGGCUUCAGCCCUGCGGGGGAGGACACAGCCUGAAUGGGGAGACUGGCAGGUGGCUUCAAUCCAAUUCAACCGUGACUAAGGACAAAGACACUGUCGGGUUUUCUCCUUUUUGUCUAACUUGCGAUUUACAGUUGCGCCCCCCCAUAAAGUAAAACACCCUCUUUCUCUCUCACACACACACACUCUCACUUUAGUUCUGCUCAGUGUUUUCACCAGAGGGCGUCUUCAAGUGGAAUUAUCUUGGGUAGAAAAUAAAAAGAAAUAAUAAUUAAAACAAACAGACACAGCUCUCUGUUGUCAUUCAGUAUUGAAGUGAACUGUCUUUGCCUGCUCUGUGUUAUCUGCCCCCCGUUUAUCCACCUGUUGCAUCUGUUCCCCCCGUUAUUUUAUUUCCACUAAAACUAACUGUGCUAUCACAGAAGCCUGGAGCUCCUCCUCACUUCCUGGCUGCUCUGCCCGAUUAUUAUUUGCCGGCCCGCUGGACGUUUCUGGCACUUCCUCUGGAUUUGUUUGCCUUUUCAAACCCUGCACCGCACAUAAGAACGUUUGUCACACACUUUUCACCCCCGCUGAGCUGAAUAACUUCAACAGGCCCUCUCUCUCUCUGCUACUUCCUAUCAACGCCGCGCUACCGGCGCUCACCGCACCACAGUUCCUGGACAGAUGUUGGCAGAAUUCCUAAUUUCAUUCUCAUUCUCUCAGCCUGUCAGUUUUGAAAGGGGGAAGCAGGACAGAAAAUAAUCGGCAGAACAUCCUAUAAGUCUGAG
Non-coding RNA from Paralichthys olivaceus (Japanese flounder), 958 nucleotides. NCBI's taxonomy places the organism in Eukaryota, Metazoa, Chordata, Actinopteri, Pleuronectiformes, Paralichthyidae. The record is from RefSeq and is a predicted model, not a curated record.